This 31-nucleotide non-coding RNA is filed under the name Rattus norvegicus (Norway rat). The record is from RNAcentral. Lineage: Eukaryota; Metazoa; Chordata; Mammalia; Rodentia; Muridae.
UCCAUUACAUAUAAUUAAUAAAUUUCUUGGA